This 253-nucleotide ribosomal RNA is filed under the name uncultured bacterium. RNAcentral's name for it is "partial 16S ribosomal RNA". It matches the Rfam family "Bacterial small subunit ribosomal RNA", at positions 524 to 776 of the family's 1533-position model. The record is from RNAcentral.
UACGUAGGGUGCGAGCGUUAAUCGGAAUUACUGGGCGUAAAGCGCUCGUAGGCGGUUUGUUGCGUCGGCUGUGAAAUCCCGAGGCUCAACCUCGGGUCUGCAGUCGAUACGAGCAAACUAGAGUGUUGCAGGGGAGACUGGAAUUCCUGGUGUAGCGGUGAAAUGCGCAGAUAUCAGGAGGAACACCGAUGGCGAAGGCAGGUCACUGGGCCGCAACUGACGCUGAGGAGCGAAAGCAUGGGGAGCGAACAGG